This 253-nucleotide ribosomal RNA is filed under the name uncultured bacterium. RNAcentral describes it as "partial 16S ribosomal RNA". It matches the Rfam family "Bacterial small subunit ribosomal RNA", at positions 524 to 776 of the family's 1533-position model. The record is from RNAcentral.
UACGAAGGGGGCUAGCGUUGCUCGGAAUUACUGGGCGUAAAGGGCGCGUAGGCGGCACUGUUAGUCAGGCGUGAAAGUCCUGGGCUCAACCUGGGAACUGCGCUUGAUACGGCAGAGCUAGAGGAUGGAAGAGGGUCGCGGAAUUCCCAGUGUAGAGGUGAAAUUCGCAGAUAUUGGGAAGAACACCGGUGGCGAAGGCGGCGACCUGGUCCAUUACUGACGCUGAGGCGCGACAGCGUGGGGAGCAAACAGG